GCGGGCGUGGUGUAACGGCUGCACAAGAGCCUUCCAAGCUCUUAGUGAGGGUUCAACUCCCUCCGCCCGCU
RNAcentral lists this transfer RNA (71 nucleotides) under Actinomycetota bacterium. RNAcentral describes it as "Actinobacteria bacterium tRNA-Gly". It matches the Rfam family "tRNA". Rfam says of the family: Transfer RNA (tRNA) molecules are approximately 80 nucleotides in length. Their secondary structure includes four short double-helical elements and three loops (D, anti-codon, and T loops). Further hydrogen bonds mediate the characteristic L-shaped molecular structure. tRNAs have two regions of fundamental functional importance: the anti-codon, which is responsible for specific mRNA codon recognition, and the 3' end, to which the tRNAs corresponding amino acid is attached (by aminoacyl-tRNA synthetases). tRNAs cope with the degeneracy of the genetic code in two manners: having more than one tRNA (with a specific anti-codon) for a particular amino acid; and 'wobble' base-pairing, i.e. permitting non-standard base-pairing at the 3rd anti-codon position. The record is from RNAcentral. Lineage: Bacteria; Bacillati; Actinomycetota.